AUUGAACGCUGGCGGCAUGCCUUACACAUGCAAGUCGAACGGCAGCACGGGUGCUUGCACCUGGUGGCGAGUGGCGAACGGAUGAGUAAUACAUCGGAACGUACCUUAUCGUGGGGGAUAACGCAGCGAAAGCUGUGCUAAUACCGCAUACGCUCUGAGGGGGAAAGCGGGGGAUCGCAAGACCUCGCGCGAUUAGAGCGGCCGAUGCCUGAUUAGCUUGUUGGUGGGGUAAAAGCCCACCAAGGCGACGAUCAGUAGCUGGUCUGAGAGGACGAUCAGCCACACUGGGACUGAGACACGGCCCAGACUCCUACGGGAGGCAGCAGUGGGGAAUUUUGGACAAUGGGGGCAACCCUGAUCCAGCAAUGCCGCGUGAGUGAAGAAGGCCUUCGGGUUGUAAAGCUCUUUUGUCAGGGAAGAAACACCGGCUCUAACACAGUCCGGGAAUGACGGUACCUGAAGAAUAAGCACCGGCUAACUACGUGCCAGCAGCCGCCGCCG
RNAcentral lists this ribosomal RNA (501 nucleotides) under uncultured bacterium. RNAcentral describes it as "partial 16S ribosomal RNA". It matches the Rfam family "Bacterial small subunit ribosomal RNA", at positions 29 to 523 of the family's 1533-position model. The record is from RNAcentral.